Molecule: long non-coding RNA, 14478 nt
Organism: Acinonyx jubatus (cheetah)
Lineage: Eukaryota; Metazoa; Chordata; Mammalia; Carnivora; Felidae
Exons: 5
Source: RefSeq, a predicted model, not a curated record
AGUCUGCUCAAGGCAAUUUAGGCUUUCUCUAUAAUGUUCCUCCAGAUUCUUCCAGAGUCUAUCUACUGCUAAGUUGCAAAGCCUACUUUUUGUACCAAAAUAUGUAUUGGUUUUCUAUCACUGAGUAACAAAUUACCAUGAAAUUAGCAACUUAAAACAAGAUUCAGUUGUUAUCUCAGUUUCUGUAGGUCAGAAGUUAGGAUAUUGCUUACUUUGGUCCUCUGUUUAGGGUAUCACAAGGCUGAAAUCAAAAGAUCAGCCAGGAAUCAGAGGUUUGAGUGGGGAAUAAUUUGAUUCCUAGCUCCCUCAGGCUACCAGAAGAAUUCAUUUUCUUGGGGCUGUAGGAUUAAUAGAAUCUUGCUUCUUCAAAGCCAGCAAUGAAGAGAGAGAGACAGAAAAAGAAAGAGACCACUAGCAAGAUGGAGUCUUAUAUAAUGUAACAUAAACACUGGGAUGACAUCCAUCACAUUUGUCAUAUUUUAUUGAUCAGAAGCAAGUCAUAGGUUUUAUACACAUUCCAAAGGAGAGGAUUAUAUAAGGACAUGAACACAAGAAGAUAGAGAUUAUUAGAGUCACCUUAAAAUCUGUUUGCCACACUGAACUUUUUCAAAAUAGAACAAACAUAAUUUUCAGGGGAAGAACCCCUUCACGUUAAGAACAUGUGUAAAUUAAAACCCAGGAGCUCAAGGGUGGGUGGAAAGAGAAAAGCAAUUACGUAUGGAAAGAAAUUUUUUUUUACGUUUAUUUAUUUACUUUGAGAGACAGAGAGACAGAGAGAGCGAGCUGGGGAGGGGCAGAGAGAGGGAGAGAAGAGAGAAUCCCAAGCAGGCACCGCACUGUCAGCAUAGAGCCUGAUGCUGGGCUCAAACCCACAAACUGUGAGAUCAUGACCUGAGCCAAAAUCUAGAGUUGGACACUUAACUGCCUGAGCCAUCCAGGUGCCCCUGGAAAGAAAUUUUUUAAAAAGUUUCACUAUAGAUUACUAAGGGAGGUGUGGAGGAUGCCUUGCUAAUAAAGAUGAUGUAGAAAGAAGGAAAAUAUCCUGAAGGAUAAACUGGCUAGGGAAAGAUAUGUAGGUGAGGCAGGACUUAAAAUGUACUUUGGAUGAUGGAUAGUAUUUAGAGAUGAAGGUAGCAUUUCAUCACGUAGUGAAGGCAUGAAGACCACUUGGAGCUGGGAACCAACAUGGAACAUUGAAGGGACAGCUAGGAGACUGAAGUCAUUCGAUGGUUCUCUAACGUGGCUACACAUUGGAAUCAUCUGGAAACAUAAGAAAAUACUGAUUCCAGGCCCAUCAGUUUGGUCUCUAUAGCUGUCUUGGUUUUCCUCUUCCCCCCACCCAUGUUCAUUUGUUCCGUUUCAUAAAUUCCACAUAUGAGUGAAAUCAUAUGGUAUGUGUCUUUCCCUGAUGUAUUUCACUUAGCGUAAUACUCUAAAAAUAUAGAAGGAUUCACGAAUUUGUGUGCCUUCCUUGCCCAGGGGACCAUGCAUAUCUCUGUAUUGUUCCAAUUUUAGUAUAUGUGCUGCCGAAGUGAGCAUUCUUUCUAGUUUCUUAAGGUUGAAACUGAUGCCAUUGAUUUGAGACCUUUCUCCUUUUCUAAUAUAGGUGUUUAGUGCCAUAAAUUUUCUCUAAAUAUUAUUUAGUGACAUCCCACAAAAAGUUGUGCUUUCAUUUUUAUUUGGUUCAAGAUACUUUUUAAUUUCUCUUUUUAUUUCUUUUUUGACCCAUGAGUAUUUUAGAAGUGGACUAGUUUCCUAAUAUUUAGGGAUUUUCUGGAGAUUUUCCUAUUAUUAAUUUCUAAUUUAAUUUCAUUGUAGUCAGAGAAUGUACUUUGUAGGUAUGAGCACUUUAAAUUUAUUGAGACAACUAUUUUAGGGCCCAGCAUAUGCUCACCUUGGUAAAUGUUCCAUGUGUCCUUGACAAAAACUAUUGUAUUUGGGUGGCAUGUUCUGUAUAAACAUCAAUUUGGUCAUUUUGGUUAGCAUUACUGUUAGGCUUUUUUUUCUAUCCUUAGUGAUUUUCUGUAUACUUGGUCUAUCAAUUAUUGAGAGGGGAUAUUGAAAUUGUUUACUGUAUUAGUGGAUUUAUCUAGUUCUUCUUGACAUUCUAUCAGUUUUGUUUCAUGUGUUUUGAGAUUCUGUUAUUAGGUGCAUACAUAUUUUUGAUUUUUUACAUACUCUUGAUAAAGUGAUCCUUUAUCAUUGUGAAAUGAUCUUCUUUGUCCAUGGCAGUAUUCUUUGUUCUGAAGUCGACUUUGUCUGAUAUUAAUAUUGACACUGAAGUUUUCUUCUUAUCAGUGUUAGGAUGGUAUAUGUUUUUUCCAUACUUUUACUUUGGAACUGUUUGUGUAUUUAUAUUUGAAAUGUUUUCUUGUAGGCAGCAUAUAAUCAAAUCUUACUUUUAAAAUCACAUCUGACAUCUCCACUUUUUAAUUGAGACACUGAGACUACUUACACUUAAUAUGAUUAUUGAUACUGUUAGGUUUAAACUUAUCUUCCUGCUAUUCGAUUUCUAUUUGUUCCAUUUGGUCUGUGUUCUCCUUUUCCUUUUUUUCUGCCUUCUUUUAGAUUAAUUGAAUAUUUUUUAUGAUUCCACUUUCUCUCCUGAGUUGGCUUCACUCUGCUUUUUUUUUAAUUUUAGUGGUUGCUUUGGUGUUUAUAGUAUACAACUUGAACUCAUCACAGUUUACCUUAAAAUGGUAUUAUACCACUUCACAUAUAGCAUAAGAACUUAACAAAAGUAUAUUUCUUGCCUCCUAACUUCUGUAUUGUUGUUGGCAUACAUUUUACUUUUACAUAUGUUAUAAACACUGAACUGCAUUGUUAUUAUGUUAAAUAGUCCGUUUUGACUUAAAAAUCCUUAAAGACAAGACAAACAUCUUAUAAAUUUACCCAUGUAGUUACAAUUUCCAGGUCUUGUCAUUUCCUUAUAUAGAUUUUUUUAAAAGAAUUCUCUCCUCUCAGUUUUUUUAAGCUUUAUUUAUUUGAGUAAUCUUGAACUUGAACUUGAACUCACAACUCCAAGAUCAAGAGUCAAAUGCUCCUCCAACUGAGCCACCCAGAUGCCCCUCUUUGUAUAGAUUUCUAUUGCCAUCUGGUAUCAUUUACCUUCUGUCAGAAUGACUUCCUUUAACACUGCUUAUAGUGCAUGUGUACUGGUGAUAAAUUCUCUCAGCUUUUGUAUCUGAAAGAUUUUAUUUUGCCUUCCUUUUUGAGAGAUGUUUUCACUGGCUGUAGAAUUCUAAAUUGACCUUUUUUACUUCCAAUAAAAUAUUGCUUUGUCUUCUCACUUGGUUUUCCCCCCACAAGAAAUUUGCUGUCAUCUUGAUUUUUGCUUCUCUGUAUAUAUGCUUUUUUCUCACUGUUCUUAAGAUUUUCUCUUUAUCACUGAUUUUGCAAAUUUAUUGUCAUAUGCUUUGCACUGUUUGCUUUCAUCUUUCUUGUGUUUGGGGUAUGGUAAGUUUCUUGAAUCUCUGGGUCAAUAUUUUUCAUAAAACUUGGAUUUGGAGGCCAUUAUUUUUUCAAAUUAUCUUUAUUCUCCUACUUUCUUUUCAGAAAUUUCAAUUACACAUGGGUUAAUACACUUGCUGUUGCUCACAACUAAUGGGUGCUCUUUUUACUUUUUUAAUGUGUAUUAUUAUUUUAUUAUUAUUAUUAUUAUUGAGAGAAAGAUAGAGAGAGGGAGGGAUGAAGGGAGGGGCAGAGAGAGGAUGAAACAGAAGAUCUGAAGCAGGCUCUGCACUGACAGUAGACAGCCCAAUGUGGGGCCCGAACUCAUGAACUAUGUAUGAAAUCAUGACCUGAGCUGAAGUUGGACGCUUAACCGACCAAGCCACCCAGGCACCCCUUACUUUUUAAAAUUAUUUUUUUCUACGUGUGCUUUAUUUUGCUAUGUCUUUGAAUUCUGCAAAUAGUUUCUCUUCCAAUGACUAAUCUGCCAUUAAUCCUGUUUUGCAUCUCUGACAUUGCUGUUUUUAUUUCCAGAAUUUUGAUUUGGAUUUCUGUUAUAUCUUCCAUAUCUCUACUUAAGUUUUGAACAUAUGAAAGACAGUUAUAAUAACAGUUUUAACAUCAUUGUUUACAUAUUCUAAUCAGUUUACCUGUUCUGGGUCAGUUUUGAUUAUGUGAUUGUUUUUGUCAUUAUAGGUCAUGUUUCCCUGUUUUGUUUUCGUUUUUGUUUUUGUUUUUGCAAGCCUGGAAAUUUUUGAUUAAAUGCCAGAUAUUCUGAGUUAUGCUUUUAAAAUGUAUCAGGGGUGGGACUGGAACUAUGUUGCCUAACACUAAUUAUCCCUUCUUUUUGAGGUAAAGCCCUUCUGUGUACUCUGGCUGAUGCUUCAUGAAUCAUGAGGUUUUCCAGUAUAGCUAUGGGAAUUACUCUCAACUCACUGUGAGCAUUAUGCACUGUUACUUAUAAUCUUUUUCGGUGGUUCUUUCCCCAGCCUUAGAAUUUUUCACACUUGCAUGCACUGAUCAAUAUUCUGCUAACUACUCAAGAGUGAUGCUCCCACAAAUCACCAAAGUUCUCUCUGUGUGAAGCUAUCUCUUCUCUGAUACCCUGUCUUGCAAAUUCUAGCCAUAUUCUUUCUAGACUCUCAUGCACAUCUCCUUAACUCAGGGAGCCCUUCUGGCUCUGCCUCAGUUCCCUUUCUCUGCACUUCAACCUGGAAAUUCUUCCAAAUCGGUAAACUGGGCUAGUCAUUGGGCUUACUGCAUUUGUUUUUCAUUUCUCAGGAAUCACUGUAUUUUGCCACAUGAUAGUCAAUGUCUUUAAAAACCAUUGUUUCAUAGGUUUUGUCCAAUUUUUGGUUGUUUCUGUUGGGUGAAUAAAUCUGGUGCUUAUUACUCCAUUUGGGCUGGAAUUGGAAGUCUAACUAGUUGUUGCUAACCACAUGGAUUGUUUGCAUGUCAGAAAGUGAUAGUUUGAGCAUUUUACAUAGCAACACAAUUUAUUGUAACUUACAUGUUGGCAUUUGACUGUGUUUUAGUUAUGUUCUAGAAAUUGGUGAGCUGCUUUUGGUUGACAUUUAACCCAUUUUUUUUUCUCAUUUAAAAUAAUGGGAAAUAGGUUCCCGGUUAGCAUUUUUAUGUAGUAUGUCUUAUUUCCUGUAAUGGAUUAUUGAUGCUAAUCGGGAAAUGCCUAUAUUUGGCUUAGACUUUUCUUCUUUCACAUGAAAAUUCUCCUAGAAGUAGCCUGUCUGGGAGACAUGAAGUUUUCAAAGACAAGUGUCUUCUGUCUUUCUUCUCCUUUGUGUAUGAAUUUCAUCUCCCUCAGAAUUACCAGAUGGAGCAUUAGUCAUCAAGUCCACAUUCCAACAGCUCUUAGCUAAGUCAUCCCACUUUUAAUAGAUUUCUCUAGGAGCCUAUCCCAUGCUUUUCUCUUACUGUGGUGGAUAGGCCAACCAUAUCUUCAAGAAAUGGCAUACAAAUGUAGUCUUUUCAUCAGGCAUCUUAUUGCCCUGAAUAAAACUAGAGUUCUGUUGUUAAGCCAUAAGGAGAAAAGGGACAUGGAUAAGCCAUUAGGAGUGCCUGCGAAAUUUGACAAUGGACAUGAAUGACAGGCUAGGUAUUAUGAAUGCAUUUUGAACAUGGAUAUAUCAUAAGGUUUAAAGAAGAUUUUUCUGGAAGUGUAGAGCCAUGGGUUGUAGAAUGGCAGAGGCUGGUGACAGUCUCCUAUUUGGUCUCUCCAUGACAAUAAUCCAGGAAUGCAGCAUUGAAGGCCAACAAUGGAACAGAUAAAGGAAAUUCUUCAAAAUACUUAUCCAAAGAAGAAACUUUAGGAAGCACUAGGUGGCAGAUGGGAUAUAAAGGGCAAGUAGGGCAAAAAAGAGUGUGUAGCAAAGAAAGACUAGAUUAUGAAAACUCAUGGAGUGUCAGAAAACUCAUGGAAGUCACUACUCCACAUCUGGUAAGUUGGGUCCUGCCCAGGACUUGAGACAAUGAUGUCUGCAAAAAUGCACUGAAGACUUUCUAUUAGCAAUAGGACUGUUGAAAUAGACUGGCACUAACACAUCUGGAGUCUGUGGUGACCCAAGAUGGGCAGAGUACAGCUUGAUAUGUACAGUAAUCCCCAUCAAAGAUGGUCAGCUCAUUGAGACCAUGAAUGUCCAAGCCUUUGUUUCCAUGUCCCCACAGGAGUUCCCUCUAGGAUAAGGAGCUAAUCCUAACCCCCAACCCUGACGUCCUUAGAGCCUGCCAGCUUCUGUAUCCAAAGCCAGUUCUAUCUUUUGCCAUAUCAAAGAUAUAAUAGGAAAAUAAUAAACAUGUUGUAGUAAAAGAGUAAAUAUCUGGGGUCAGACCAGUCAAGACAGAAUUAUUGGUCAAUAUUUUGUCAGUUGGAUGACAUUGGGUAGGUUACUCUUUUUCUCUGAACCACAUUUACUGAUCUGAAAAAGGAGAAUAAUUAUAAUAAUACCUGCCCAAAUACUUUUUUUUUGUGAGACUUAAUCAUGUUUGUCAAAGAACGUGGCAAUUGAAGAGCUCAGACUUUGGCCUUGGCUCAGUCCAUUUACUCAAGUUGCUUCACUCCUUUGGGUCUUAAUUUCCUUAUCUGUCCUUUUACAGAGCUUAAAAACCAGUUUUUGGCAUAUAAUGUCUGCUGAAUAAAUAUUUGUUAAAUAAAAUUCUGUUGGAUCUAUAAAACAAAACAUUUCAUUUAGAUUAGCAUUUUCCAAAGUAUGUGUUGUGAGACGCUGAUGAAUUGAUAACGCAUAUUACAAAAACCCGGGAAGAUAUUGUCAUUGGUGACACCCACAAAGCCACCAUACCUAUUUUUUCCUGUCUUUAAAUAUCCAAACUAUUAAUAUUUACUUAAUAGUAUUUUAUAGAAGAAGCCACUGUUCAUUCGCCUCUUUUGAUUUUCAAUCAAUUCUUGCCACUGCAAUCUAUUUGGAUAUAGGGGGACAUUGACUUAGCUAAAUCAUAAUUAGAUAUUAGUUGGUGGCCCUAAAUUGGACAGCAAUUUUCCUGAAGGCAGGGACUCAUCAACCUGUGGGCUUGUCCUUGCCCCUGAUGUGGAGUAUAAUGGGAGCGGGAGACAUGCUUGCUCCACAGAUGGUUUAAUUUGUACACCUGGUAGUCCAGUUGCUCAACCAAUUGGCUUCCUUAUUGAAAUGACAGCUAAUUUAAAGAAUAAAUGGCUAUUUAAUAGAAUGGGAAACCAUUAAACCCAGAACCUUCUAAUAAAGACUGAUUCUUAUGUAAGUCUUAUGAAGUGUUAAUUACUGGCUCCUGAGAAAAGGGAAGAAUGAAAUAUUGCCCGUGGAGUGCUUGUUGCCUCACUGUGAACUCAGACUCUACCUUGAAUAAUACUGACAAUGCUAAUAAUAAUAAAAAUGCUGCUGCUGCUCCUUUAUUUUUCAGUUGUACUUUGUGGUUUCAAAACCAUGUAAAUGUGGAGAAGUAAUUGAAUACAAAGGAAAGAGAACAGGCUGUGGAUUCUGUUAGAUCUGGGUUCAAAUCCAACCUCUACUGUCUGUGUUCUCAAUGCUACCAUCUGAAAAAUGAGAAUAACAAUACGUAUUAUAAAUGUUAGGGACUUACUAGAGCCCCCCCCAAAAAGAAUUGAAAAUAAGGAAAAUAAAAAUUGUGUUUGAGAAUUAACCUUAAACAUCAACACCGUGACUCAUUGUCCGAUAGUCCUAAAAAUACAAAAUGACUGUGAGACCUGGUACCAAAUGCAAUCAGAAUAGCAGCUGCAGUUAGCUAUGGAAACAUAGCAGAACAUUACAAACACAAUUGUCCAAAUAUCAGAAAAGGGAGACAGAGUAUGAGCCAACAAAUUUCGGAUGUUUCCUGCCCAACAGGAUAGACUAUACCUAACAUAGAAAUAAAGAUGCAGUAGAUUAAAAGCUCCUCACGUCAGAAGGUAGAGUGUAUUCCUCCACCCUUGAAUACAGGUUUGUCCAUGUGACUUGCUUUGGCCAAUGGGACACUGGCAAAUAUGGCACAAGCAAAGGUUUGAACAGUGCUUACAGAGUGAGGCUUGCCUUCUCUUGCUGCUGAUAUCUUUUCUCAUCAUGUGAAUAAGACUGGAGGAUGAGAGCCUACCUGUGGGGAGGCCUCAACUGUUCAGCCAUCUGAACCAUCACAUUUGAGGCCCUGUACGUACGAGUGAGGCUGUCUUAGACCAUCUAGCUCCAAACAAGUCUCCCCAAACAAGUCUGUCCUAGACCAUCUCCCCAAACAAGGAGAACCACAGAACCACAGCUAACCCACAGCAUUAUGAAGAAUGGUUGUUUGUUGUUUUAAGUCAUUGAGUUUUGGGGUAGUUUGUUCUACCACAUCAGACACCAGAAGACUUUUUAGCUUUCGGUAUUCCGGUCCCAGGGGUGAGGUCAUCCACUCUGUAUAUAUGUAUAUGAAUGUAUCAGGCAAUUUUACGUUGACAUCAUCAAAGACUCCAUUCUCCUCACUUCUUUUACCCUGAGGCCAUGCUCGCCAACAAAUGUCUAAUCAUGAUCUGGCCUGUCACAUAGUUUACCUAGGUGGACAAUGGACUGACCACAUGAACCCCAAGGAUUCCUAGCCCCCGGUAAGGCAAUUAUUUAUGACAAAUUAAUGACGUGUCUUCUGACCAAGGUUUGGCUUCAGGAGCGUAUAUCCUAUGUCUCUAAACAUUUGCUCUCCAUUCUUCUCUAUCCUGCUCUUUAGUCCAGAAAGUUCAUCUGUAUAGAUUCCUUCAAGGAACAAUCUUGCCUUGUGGCUUCUUAUUGGGCUUCCCCAGUGGAAAGCUUUACCUGGAAACUGGAGAGAAGGAGAGUGAUUUCAGAGGAUUGAUCCUUACAGUACCUCCCUCUAAGAUUGAUUUGGGUAAGCUGAGUUCCUGGACUGAAGAUUGCUGCUCCUGUCAAGAUAAUCCCUUCUCUAAAACUUUCUCUUUGAAACCAAUCCUUUCCCUCAUCUUUUCAGGCUUAGAGGUAAAAAUGGAGCAAUUUUUACUCCAGUUCUGCACUAUCCUAUCUGGUUUCCCUACUCCUGCCCACACUUUUGUAAAUAACUCUUUUAUUAAGCCUUUUCCCAAUUAUCCUGAUCUCAGCAUGCCAUCUGUCUCCUGUUGAGCCCUGACUGAUACAUAUGCUAAGCACGUGGGUUUGAGUAUCUGGUUUGUCUGAUGGUGGUUUCUCUUUGGCUUAUGAUUUACCCUUGAGAGAUGGUUCCACAUUCACUGAGCCAAUGUAGUCGAGUUUUUAGGCCCACGAGGCUGAGAGUCAGACUGAAAUUCACAAAGGUAACAAAUUCCUCUAGGAACCAGCCAGCUGGCCUUUUCCCUUCUGGAGUGGAGAACAAGAAUUGUACUUGUCUGUAUUUCUACAAUACCCACUCUUCAAGGUGGCUGUUAGGAUUAGAUAAAAUGCAUGCAAAUUGCUUUGUGCCUUUGUAUCUGCCAUCUUGUAAAUUCUCAACAUGUUAAGAACUGCUGUUAUUGUGGUUUUUUUUAAAUUUUUUUUAACGUUUAUUUAUUUUUGAGACAGAGAGAGACAGAGCAUGAACGGGGGAGGGUCAGAGAGAGGGAGACACAGAAUCUGAAACAGGCUCCAGGCUCUGAGUUGUCAGCACAGAGCCCGAUGCGGGGCUCGAACUCACGGACUGCGAGAUCAUGACCUGAGCUGAAGUCGGCCGCUUAACUGACUGAGCCACCCAGGUGCCCUGCUGUUAUUGUGUUUAAUGUUCCUUUGCAUAAUAUGGUCUUUACCAAAUGAUGUGUAAUAUUUUUCUUGGGCUCCUUUUUGGGAUGCUUGUAUUAGGGUGCAUAACAUUGAGAUUGCGGGGCUUGGGAUAAAAAAAGAGAAUGUAGGUGAGGCAUGAUUUACAUGGGUGCACACAGCUUCUAAAGCCUUGUGACAAGGCACCAAACGGAAAGGAUUCUGAUUUAGCAGUUGUCACAUAAGCAUAUUCCAUGAGUCAAACAUGGAGGAAAAAAUGGAGCACUUGAAGUAAAAUAAAUAGUUUUGCCAGUUCAUUGUAAUUAAGCAGUCAUGGAGCACUUGAUUUGCUUGUGCCCGGAAAGGUUGGUAUAAGAGUCAGGGGGGUGACAGGUGGAUCCCUUCUGGGACAUGGCAUGGUGGCAAGAUGUGUAAGUUUCCUUGUUAUGUACUAAGGAGUAUGGACAGUCAAGUAAAAAGAUUCCCUAGCAUUCUCUCCUUUUCAGAGCAAGCCAGUAUCCAAGGCGCCAAGUAAGGAGGCAAAGUAAAGAGGGCCCUGGUAAUGUCACUCACAUCUCUUCCCAUUAUGGAUUCAGGGGAAGAGACACCAGGAAUGUGCACACACACACGGUGAAGACCAACUUGAGGACACACAGAGACAAUGUGACCGUCUCAAGCCAAGGAGACCUCAGGAGAAACCAAACUGCUAAUACCUUGAUCUUGAACUUCCAGUCUCCAGAACGGGCCCAUGGAGUGGUGCUUAACUCAUCCCAACCAUAGACAAACCUUCUGGAAAUUGUGCUAAUGCACAGCUGAAUAAGAAGAGAUCAGAGAUACCAAGGCCAUGGAUGGAGCUUUAGAGAAGUACUUUUCAGGGAUCACCAGUGCUCUGGUGCCAAGGAAAAGAAGACAGCAAAAAAAGAAGAAAGAGCAAGCGCCAGCUUUACGAAAUAAAUGAAGACAAUGACUGCUGAAUUUUUUUCUCGCAUGUGGACAAUGGAAUGUGAAGUCAAGAAAAUCUUUCCGAGGGGCAUCUGGGUGGCUUAGUUGGUUAAGCAUCCGACUCUUGAUCAUGGUCAUGAUCUCAUAGUCAUGAGCUGCCAAGACUUUGGGCUCCACACUGAGUGUGAAGCCUGCUUAACAUUCUCUCUUGCUGUCCUUCUGCCCCUGCCCCUCUCUAAAAAGAAAAUCUUCCAGAAAACGUAUCACAAAGAGGAUGGGGUGGGAUGGAAAAGGCAAGAAGGAUCUAGCAUGUAUGGCUUACAUCCAUUUGGUCAUAUGGUCCAGUUCAAAAUUCUCUACUAAGAGAGUUUCUUUUCUUUUGUUCUAGUGACUUUUACACAGACACAGAGCAAAGGGAAGUAACUGUCUUUUGAUUGGCAGGAAGAGUGACCUGUAUCUCAAAUAUCCCAAGCAGCUUCUUUUCCAGCUUCUAGUUCUAGAUGGGAACUGCUAAAUGCCAACAUUCAGCCCUGAAGUUUCUCCAAAACCUACUAUCCAUUAAUAUGUAUAUUAAUACCUACUGUAAGUUCUAAUUUUCCAUAGUAGUCUUCCAAACACUCAAAGUUGGGGUGACUGGGUGGCUCAGUCAGUUAAGCAUGCAACUCUUGGUUUUGGCUCAGGUCAUGAUCUGAUGGUUCAUGACUUUGAGCCCCACAUCGGGCUCUGCGCUGACAGUGUGGAGCCUGCUUGGGAUUCCCUCUUUAUCCUUCUCUCUGCCCCUCCCACUCUCUGUCCUUCUCUCAAAAUACAUAAAUAAAAGUUAAAAAAGAACAAAAACUUGAAGACAGAAGAUACUAGGCUAUGAUCAUUUUCUUUUUGAAAGUCAUAGUUUUCCAUCUUUACCCACUUACCUUGGAAGAAAUUGAAGAAUUUCUCUAAAGACUUUGAAAGCAAUACUGUGAAGGAGCAGGGGAAGUACAGGACUCUGGGGCUCAGGGGUGUUUCUAUCCCUUUUUACUUUCUUGUUUGGGUACCAGCCAAGGGUUUUGAAAAGUCUUGACAAGUUCUGUAGGAAGGCAGUGUCAUACAAUAUGCCAUGUCAGAUGGUAUGUAAACAUUUCUGUAUUCCCCAGAAAAAAAGGUGCUGCUUCUUCACUCAUUUUUGUUGUUGUUGAAUCAAUACUUAUUGAAUGUUUACUAUGCAUAAACUUUUAUUCUAGGCAUAGGCUAAUCAGGAGGGGACAAAGAGGACAUAAUUCCGAACCUCAGGAAACUCACAGUCCUUUCAGAUGGGCACUGGAUUACUCACGUUUGCUGUUACCUGUAUAUCUCUUUCCAGACUUCAGAACCCUCUUCUGUUGGAUAUUCCAAACAUAUCACCUUUUUUUUUUGUCUCUUCCCCUUUCAUGCUUCCAUCCUCCAGUGUCCUGUCCCCUGGCCUGCAUUUCCCUUCACCUGCUCACAUGUACUUUUCUUCCUUAAUAUUUCUUCUCCGUCAUUUAGGAACCCUUUGUCACUUCACAAUCCCUGACAUAUAGUUAGUGCUGUAUACAAUCUCAGAGAAUGAAUGAGUAUCUAAAUGGACUAAGGUCGCAUAUAAAUGAGUUUUAAGACUGUGCGGGCAGAGGUUUGCAGAGGUAAAGGAAAGAAUAUUUUGGUUGGAGUAAGUUUGGAAGGUCUCAUCACACACACACACACACACACACACACACUUUUGAAAAACUCAAGUAACAUUACAUCUUCCUAUGAUCCUUGAGACAUAAAAUCCUUUGCCUCAGUAGGCAUUCAACAAAUAUCUGACUGUUUGAUGCCCUAGAGUUCACAUGACUGUUACAAAAGCAUUGACUGACUGAAUUUACGUAGAUUGAGUAUUCAUUUCAAAAAUGUUUUUUUAAGUUUUUUUUAAUGUUUAUUUAUUUCUGAGAAAGAGAGACACAGAGUGCAAGCAGGGGAGGAGCAGAGAGAGAGGGAGACACAGAAUCCGAAGCAGGAUCCAGGCUCUGAGCUGUGAGCAUGGAGCCCAAUGCAAGGCUCGAACUCAUGAACCAUGAGAACAUGACCCGAGCUGAAGUUGGAUUUUUAACUGAGUGAGCCAUCCAGGCACCCCUUAUUUCAAAAAUGUGUUAAGAUGGAUUUUUAAUACACUUUAUAUUAGCUUUGAAAUCCAAGUGGCCACUGUAGCUUUGUGGCUUUUAAAUCAAGCCUUAUUUGUUACUCCUCAUGAAGUGAUUUUAUAGGUUGUUGACUAUUUUAUGGGACAUUCUUGCUGUUAUUCUCUGAAUUGCAUGCUGAUCCCUGCUGGAGAAGGGUAACAGUGCUGUAAGUAUAUUUUAUCCUCUUGUUGUGUACUUUUAUUGUAGACAGGCCUAAGAAAAUCAGAUGAUGUUAAUACAUCUAUACACUGAACAAUUCCUGGGGCCAGUGGAAAUGACCAGGUUUCUUGGGAUGAAAACAGAGAUCACAGCUUUCUCUGACAACUCUCUCUCUCUAUCUAUCUAUCUCUGCCUUUAGAGAGUCCACCUCAUUAACUGCACCGUCUCCCUUAGAUAUCUUCCUGAUGUGCAGCUUGAAAAUCUCCCACACCUCUAUGAUGCAGUCUUUAUACUUGUCUCCUGAGCUCUGCAGGACAUAAGCUGUUCUUUCCACCUCAUAAUAUUCGUGACAAAUUCAAACUUUCUAAAUAACUCUUCCAUGAAUCUAAGGGGAAUGGAGAACUUACAGAAGGAUAACAAGCAUCUCAAUGUACAGACUCCUGAUCCUGAUACUACAAGUCUAGCCAGAGAUCAACUUCUUUGACCAUAUUAACUCAGGACCUGAUCUUCUUCCUUCCCACUCUCCAGGUUUGGAAUGCUAGAAACCAUACACUCAGCAAUCUAGAAGGUUAAGAUUAAAGGGUAGCUUCUGACAGGCACCUCUAUGAAACCUGCUGGAAUUCUCCAUCCUCCCCAAAGCGACUGCAGCCAACAAGCCAUUCCCUGUGACUUGGUACUCUCAUUUAUUCAUUUGUUCAGUCCACAAAUAAUUUUUCUUUGUUUUGAACAACUGUCAAAUACAUCAUGAUCGUGGCCCUGGAGGAUUUCACAGUCCAGUCGGGGGCUUCUCUGGAUCCUAUGACUUACAGAAAGAAAAUUUCUCCCCUAACUUUCUCUAGGAUUCCUUCUCUGAGUUUCAAGUCAGUUUUCACACAUUCUUGAGUUGUCUCUGGCUCUGGACACUUGGGUUCUAGAAGUCCUGCCAUCAUCCUCAAUUCCAUUCCCUCUCUCGUUGUCUCUUGCCAACUAUUAAGCCUAAUGGUUUUUUGAAAAAUCUUUUUGUUGUAAAACAAUUAUAGAUUCACAGGAAGUUGCAAAGACAGUACAGAGAAGUUCCACAUACACUCACUCCGUUUCCCACAGUGGUUACAGCUAAUGUAAUUCUAGUACAAUAGCAAAACCAGGAAAUUGAUGUUGAUACAAUGUGUGUGCAUGGUCUCUGUCAUUUUAGCAUGCGUGUGCAUUCAUGUAGCCACCGCUGCAAUCAAGAUACAGAACUCUUCCAUUGCCACAAAGACCCUCCUUCACUCUACGCCUUUGUAGGUACACCUGCUCCCCUUCCUCCCCGAUCCCUAGCUUCUGACAACUAUGAAUCUUUUCGCUAUAAUGCUGUCACGUAAAGAAUAUUAUACAAAUGAGAUCAUACAGCAUCUGACCUUUUGAAGUUUCUUUUUUUUUCACUAGGCGUAAUGCUCUUGAUAUCCAUCUAAGUUGUUGCAAGUCUCAAUAGUUCAUUUCUUUUUAUUGGUGAGUAGUAUUCCAUAGUAUGGAUUGUACCACUUAUUGUGUGUGAUUCACCCAUUGUGGGACAUUUGGCUUGUGUUUGAUUUUUGGCUACUACAGAUAAAGUUGCUCUGAACAUA